CCUUCGAUAGCUCAGUCGGCAGAGCGGGGGACUGUAGUUGUUUAUGGCAAAAAUCCCUAGGUCACUGGUUUGAAUCCGGGUCGAAGGA
This is a non-coding RNA of Paramuricea clavata, 88 nucleotides long. Lineage: Eukaryota; Metazoa; Cnidaria; Anthozoa; Malacalcyonacea; Plexauridae. The record is from the annotation of a GenBank genome assembly.